GUAGCUGACGUGCAAUGGGGCGGAUUUCAUUCAGGGUCAGUGGUGCCCGUCUCUGAUUCAUCAAAUCCCAAAGGCUCCUGUCCAGCAUCUGGAAGGCGAUGCAAGACAUGCCUUUGAAUAUGAAACUGUCUUCGAAUCUUACCAAGUUGUUUACCUCUGGGUCAAGGAUCCUGAGUUGUUUCAGCAUUUUCACUUCUUCGACGUGAUCUAUCAACUCUUUGUUGAUCUUGAUGGCCACAACCUCGGAUGUAUUUAAAUUGAUACACUUGGCAACCUUGCCAAAACUUCCUUCUCCAAUGAAGUCUAAAACACGGUAUUGUACAGACUUGUUGCAGAGUAUGUCAUGCUUUUUCAGCUGAAAGUCCUUGUUCAUUUCGUUUUGAGACAUUUUUCCGAUCAAGUCUUUCCAAAUAGUAUCCAAGUUAAGUAGUAUCCAAGUUGAGUGGUAUCCAAGUUGAGUAGAUGCAGAAGAGCUCGUCUUGCUGUGGGAAUGUGAUGCUAUCUACUGAAGUAACAAGAGAAAUAACAUGCAAUAUAUACUCUGACAUCAAAGGCACAUGUGAUGUCAUCAAAGCCAUAUUUAAGUUCUAGAACAUCAAAGUCACAUGGGAUGUGUCACCAAGGCAACUCUGCAUUCUAAAUAUCAUGGAGUGGAGCUUGAAAAAUAGUAUAAUUUUUCAAAACAACUUGCCCUCAUGCCCAUAAUUUGCAGUCUUUAUCAAUCAUUUUAGGUCAAAUUGUAGGAAAUGUUGUGCUGGUCACAGACAUGGGUCAGUGGACUUCACCUAACCCUAACCCAACCAACUGCUCCAUUAGACUCAAUGUCUUAUUGGAAUAUCCCAGGGUAGUUAAAUCAAACUGUGUCAGUGUAUAGCUGGACAUUUUAUUCAUUUCUAUUUCGAUAAUUUCACUUAAAACUGUUAUGUUAAUUUUGCGCGAAAGACGUCUUCCAGUCAGUCCACUGAAAAAUCCAUUCUCAGUGUAUGCGCACUGGAAGAUUUCCACACACAUCUUUGAGAGGAAGGGAUCUUUUACAAUAGAAAAUGUAAUAAUAGACUAUGCGAUACGCUCUAAGGCCAUGUUUGAAGGAGGUUUAGCUGAGAUGGACUGUCUUGUCUGCAGGACACCAAAUGAAACGGCGUCUCCACUUAAUAUAUUCUAACAGGCUUCUUGGUUCUUUUUGUCUGGUAGCCUGGGGAAUAAACAAGAAGACAUUGGAAAGAUAAACGCAUUAUAGUCAAAUCACAAAUGUUGAUGGAAUCUUUCGUCCUUUCAGUCUGAUUCUCCCCCUCCUCUCUCUCCUUUUUAUAUAACCAAUAAUUCACUGCAUCUAUUAAGCUGUAAUUUCACAACCCAUUCAUUUGAUUUCAGCCCAAUCUCUCCGUCUGCCCUGGCUGAGCUGCUGGAACUCCAGGAAAGUGGACACAUCUCCUCUUCGGUUGCCAAGCAGGUGUUCCAGGAGAUGUGGAGGUCAUCAGGUAAGACGGCCUCUCAGAUCAUCCAGGAGCAGGACUUGGGUCUUGUUAGUGACACCACACAGCUGCACAACAUCUGCCAGAAGGUGGUGGACUUGCACCCUGAUGAGGUUCACGCCAUCAGAAACGGAAACAAGAAAGUUCUGAAUAAGCUGAUGGGCCUGGUUCAGAAAGAGACCAAAGGCCGAGCCGACCCAGUUCUGGUGAGGGCAAUUUUACAAGAGAAGACUUCAUGAUUUGUCCUGCAAGACCCAAACGUCAGACACCGAGUCAAAGGCCUUCAUGAAAGAAGAACGACAUGACAGAGUAAUGUCACAGCGAUUCAUGGUCCCUGGUGGGUUGAUAAAACUGUUGAAUAUUGAUUGAGAGGUUGAUAUUUUUGUAAAUACUGAACAAUGUUUUCAUCUGACAACCAUUAUCUUCCAUGUUUGUUAUAAAAGUAACAAAGCUUUUCCGAUUUAAUGCUCUGUGUGGCAGUGUGUUGGAUCAGUUGUCAUUCAUGAAUCCCGAGUUACAGAAAAUAAAUGUCAUAUUUUGACAUGUUAUAUGUUUGAAUGAGAAUAGCAUGUAAAAAAAAAACAAAAAAAAGGUACUUGUCUCGUGACAAAUGAUGCAUCUUAAUUAACUCAUUAAAUGUUUAAUUGAAAUGGUCCGGUUAGGAAACAAAGAAGAUUGUGAUUUCAACAACAAAUUCCUCCAAACAGUCCUGCAUAUAAUUCGAUAUAAACCUUUCAAUAAACUUUGUGCCAUUGGCAACUGC
This is a long non-coding RNA of Anarrhichthys ocellatus (wolf-eel), 2235 nucleotides long. RefSeq lists it as uncharacterized. The transcript has 3 exons. The record is from RefSeq and is a predicted model, not a curated record. Lineage: Eukaryota; Metazoa; Chordata; Actinopteri; Perciformes; Anarhichadidae.